UGAAUUGGGACUCAGCAGACGUACCAGAUGGUUUCACUAGAGCCUUUUACCAAACAUGCUGGUAAAUCAUUGAAGAAAAUGUGGUCGGCAUGGUCAAGUCUUUCUUCUGCGGUCAACAACUGCCAAAGAGUAUUACGCACACAAACCUGGUUUUGUUGCCAAAGAAAAAAGAAGUGACUACCUUUGCAGACAUGAGACCAAUCACUCUUAGCAACAUUGUUAACAAGAUUUUCUCGCAAGUCAUUCAUGAAAGGUUGGUUGAAUUAUUACCGACCAUAAUCUCAGAGGAACAGGCAGGUUUUGUGAAGGGAAGAAGCAUCGUUGAGAAUGUAAUGCUAACUCAAGAAAUCAUUAAGGAUAUCAGGUUAAGAACAAAAGCAGGUCCAAACAUUGUGAUUAAGCUAGACAUGACAAAAGCUUAUGACUGCUAACUUAAGAAAUCAUUAAGGAUAUCAUGUUAAGAACAAAAGCAGGUCCAAACAUUGUGAUUAAGCUAGACAUGUCAAAACCUUAUGAUAGAUUAUCAUGGCUAUUCCUGACUAAAUUGCAAAAGAAGAUGGGAUUUCCUGAAGAUUUUAUUGAUUUGAUUGGGAAUAAUUGGUUCUCUAUUCUUAUAAAUGGUCAGCCAAAUGGUUUUUUCAAAUCAUCAAGGGGAGUUAAGUAGGGAGACCCUCUGUCACCAACCCUAUUCAUUCUAGCAGCAGAAGCACUGUCUCGAGGUUUCAACUCACUGCAUACUAACCUGUAUUUCCGUGGAUUUGAUCUACAAAAAUGGAGUCCAAAAUAAAACCAUCUUGCAUAUGCAGAUGAUACAAUCAUUUUCUGCUCAUCUUAUGCAACUUUAUUAUCACUUGUGAUGGAGGUUCUGCAAGCUUAUGAAUCAUAAUCUGGUCCUAUGGUGAACAAAGCCAAAUCAGCCAUAUAUCUGCAUCAUUUAACGGAUGAUGAGGUGAUUAACAAGGUGGAAAGGAUUACUGGUGUAGGAAGAAAAUGUUUCCCUAUGAACUAUCUUGGAUGUCCUAAUUUUUAUGCCAGAAGAAGGAGUGAUUAUUACCAGUGUUUAAUUACUAAGGUUAUGGACAAACUACAGACGUGUAAAGGAAAACUCCUAUCUGUAGGAGGCAGGUCUGUAUUGAUCGCAAAUGUCCUGCAGAGUAUACCAAUUCAUAUGUUGUCAGCAGUUAAUCCACCAAGCUAUGUGAUCAACAAAUUACAUAGCACUUUUGCCAAAUUUUUCUGGAGCAACAAUGUGGGAGGAAGCUCAAGACAUUGGUCAUCAUGGACUAACCUGUGUAUGCCAUAUGAGGAGGGGGUAUAGGUUUCAGAUCCCUUCAUGAUGUAUCCAAGGCACUUUUCUGCAAAUUAUGGUGGAAUUUCAGGACAAAUCCAAGCUUAUGGAGUGCAUUUUUGUGUCAAAAAUAUUGCAAGAAAUUAAAUCCUGUAAAUGUACCGUGGAAAAGGGGAUCACACGUGUGGAGAAAAAUUCUUGAAUGCAGGGAUUUGAUUGAGCAUCAAAUCUGCUGGAAAUUGAGAAUGGAAUCGGCUCAAUUUUGGUUCGACAAUUGGAGCAAGAUGGGAGCUUUAUAUUUCCAA
This 1593-nucleotide long non-coding RNA is filed under the name Nicotiana benthamiana. RNAcentral describes it as "long non-coding RNA (NBEN_LNC021007)". The record is from RNAcentral. Lineage: Eukaryota; Viridiplantae; Streptophyta; Magnoliopsida; Solanales; Solanaceae.